UGGAUCCAGACUUUGAUUCUGGCUCAGGACGAACGCUGGCGGCGUGCCUAACACAUGCAAGUCGAACGGAACUCUAUCGAAAGAUUCCUUCGGGAUGAAUUUGGUUGAGUUUAGUGGCGGACGGGUGAGUAACGCGUGAGUAACCUGCCUUUGAGAGGGGAAUAACAAUCUGAAAAGAUUGCUAAUACCGCAUAACAUAUGUUUGUCGCAUGGCAGACAUAUCAAAGAUUUUAUCGCUCAAAGAUGGACUCGCGUCCGAUUAGUUAGUUGGUGAGGUAACGGCUCACCAAGACCGCGAUCGGUAGCCGGACUGAGAGGUUGAACGGCCACAUUGGGACUGGGACACGGCCCAGACUCCUACGGGAGGCAGCAGUGGGGGAUAUUGCGCAAUGGGGGCAACCCUGACGCAGCAACGCCGCGUGAAGGAUGAAGGUUUUCGGAUUGUAAACUUCUUUUAUUAAGGACGAAAUUUGACGGUACUUAAUGAAUAGCUCCGGCUAACUACGUGCCAGCAGCCGCGGUAAUACGUAGGGAGCAAGCGUUGUCCGGAUUUACUGGGUGUAAAGGGUGCGUAGGCGGCUUUGCAAGUCAGAUGUGAAAUCUAUGGGCUCAACCCAUAAACUGCAUUUGAAACUGUAGAGCUUGAGUGAAGUAGAGGCAGGCGGAAUUCCCCGUGUAGCGGUGAAAUGCGUAGAGAUGGGGAGGAACACCAGUGGCGAAGGCGGCCUGCUGGGCUUUAACUGACGCUGAGGCACGAAAGCGUGGGUAGCAAACAGGAUUAGAUACCCUGGUAGUCCACGCUGUAAACGAUGAUUACUAGGUGUGGGGGGUCUGACCCCUUCCGUGCCGGAGUUAACACAAUAAGUAAUCCACCUGGGGAGUACGGCCGCAAGGUUGCAACUCAAAUGAAUUGACGGA
Molecule: ribosomal RNA, 918 nt
Filed under: uncultured Bacillota bacterium
Lineage: Bacteria; Bacillati; Bacillota
Description: bacterial SSU rRNA
Rfam family: Bacterial small subunit ribosomal RNA
Source: RNAcentral